This 494-nucleotide ribosomal RNA is filed under the name uncultured bacterium. RNAcentral describes it as "partial 16S ribosomal RNA". It matches the Rfam family "Bacterial small subunit ribosomal RNA", at positions 28 to 507 of the family's 1533-position model. The record is from RNAcentral.
GACGAACGCUGGCGGCGUGCUUAACACAUGCAAGUCGAACGGUGAAGCGCCUUCCUUUUUGGUGGGUGUGGAUGAGUGGCGAACGGGUGAGUAACACGUGAGUAACCUGCCCCCUUCUUCUGGAUAACCGCAUGAAAGUGUGGCUAAUACGGGAUAUUCUGGGUCUGUCGCAUGAUGGGUCUGGGAAAGAUAUUGUUUCGGUGGGGGAUGGGCUCGCGGCCUAUCAGCUUGUUGGUGGGGUGAUGGCCUACCAAGGCGGUGACGGGUAGCCGGCCUGAGAGGGUGGACGGUCACACUGGGACUGAGACACGGCCCAGACUCCUAGGGGAGGCAGCAGUGGGGAAUAUUGCACAAUGGGCGCAAGCCUGAUGCAGCGACGCCGCGUGAGGGAUGGAGGCCGUCGGGUUGUGAACCUCUUUCGCCAGUGAAGCAGGCCUGCCUCGUUUGUGGGUGGGUUGACGGUAGCUGGAUAAGAAGCGCCGGCUAACUACGUG